CCCGAACGGGCGGGGUGAAGGAGCACAAGACCGGGAUUCCAACGCAGGACUCCGAAGAGAUAAGAAUGAUUGGCAGAGACAUGGAAAAACACAUUUGUAUCAGAACUACUUGAAGAAAAAUGUGAAGCUCUGUGUAUGGAUUAUGUAUUUAAUAAAAACAAAUUGUGAUAACAUUCAUAAAGUGGAAUACUAUUGAGCACUAUUGAGCAAGUCAAAGGAAAGGACUGCUGAUACAACAUGGAUCAAUCUCAAAAACAUUGCAUUUGGUAAAAUAAGCUAGAACAGAGUACAUAGCAUAUAAAUCCAUUAAUAAAAAUUUAAGAAUAGGAAAAACUAAUCUAUGCUUAGUGUCUUCUUAUGGUGGCAGAGGCAGUAGGUUGGGAUUUUAGUGGAAAGGAUCAUGAGGGAACAUGAUAGGAUGGCAAAAAUGUUCUGUACUAAUCACAUGUAGCUAUUAAAAUCUAACAAAACUUAAAAUUCAGUUCCAUAGUCAACACUAGCUACAUUUUAAGUGUUCAAUAGCCACAUGUGGCUACUGCCUACUAAGUUAGACAGUGCAAAUACAGAACAUUUCUAUUAUCGCAGAAGUUCUACUAGAGUUCUAGUCUAGAUCUUGUUUUGGGCAGGUGUUUACAUUUUUCAGAAUUGGAAUUAAUGCAUAUUAUAUAUGUAUUAUAUGCCAGUAACACCUGCCCCCAAGCCCUAUAAAUAAUUAAUAGAAUUUUUAUUACUAUAUUAUCUACCUAAUUAGCCUAGUUUUUUCUUAAUACUUUUGUGCAACCCUGCAGAGAAAGGAUAAAUAGUAAAAUUCUUGGCAAAUUUUCAAAUAUGUAAGUGUGACAUACAGUAGAUAGCAUUGAUUUUCUGCUCAAAAAAAAUGGGUUCUGCUACUUUAUAAUUGUGAAUGCAUCUAGAAAGAAGGAAUUUUUUUUUGAGGGCUUAAAGUGAACUCUAGAUGACUACAGAGAAAUUUUUUCUUUUGGAAUCAAGUAUCUUAAACAUAGUAGAGAUCGUGUAACCUUCUAAGGUAACACGAGUGUUUGGGAGAUAUUGGUGCUAACUCUAUGACUAGGUUUAGAAAGUUAAAUCACCUCCCUAGGUAACACUUCAGACAAGCCUUUUGGAGGCAGAAGAAAACUAAGUUUUUAAGUCAAGGAUAAAAACACCUGAACUCAAUUCUAAAAUUCUGAUAUUAAUGGAUUUUAAGAGAUGGAAUACCAGGUGAAUUGAUUCAAAAUAUUAUAUAUGUUCCUAUAGUACUUCAGUGAAAUUAAGAAAAAUUUUUGGUAGAAUAAGUACUAUAAUAAUGUUAAUAAAUAUUUCUACUAGCAUUUUUUAAGACCUUUGUGAACCCCAAGUAGAUUUUUACAAGACAAUGAACUUGGACUGUUAAAGAUUAAUUCUUACAAAUGAGUCAUCAAUUCAUGUCAAUAAUAUAUGCUGAAAAGCAUUUUAUUCACUUAAUUAUUGUCAGUUAUAUAUCAAAAAUGAUUUUAUAUGAUCCAAAUUCUUUAACUGCCAAAUAUUGUUUUCUCUCCUCUCUCUCUUUCUCCCUCUCUUCACCCCUCCCCUCCCUCUCUCCCUUUCCCUUCCUCCCUUCCUCUACCUUUUUUUCCUUCUUCUAAUGUAAUAGGUAGUCUGGAGAAAACAUCUCCCAAGUUCCUGUUGGGCCAUUCAUCCUAUUGGAAGUAUACUAAUAGUAUCUUCUCAUUGGAACAUGUCAUAUAUCUCACCUGCCCCCCCCACACUAGCAUCACAAUAAGGAUAUAUAAAACCUUCAUUUAAAUUGUUUUGAAUGUAUAUAUCAAUUGUUACAGCAUAUGACCAAACUUUUUUUAUCCUUAAAAAUGUUUUUUUUUUUUAGCAAUAUGACAACCACUGGUGAAGAACAAUAAAGAUUACUAAUUGACAUUACA
This is a long non-coding RNA of Cebus imitator (Panamanian white-faced capuchin), 1916 nucleotides long. RefSeq lists it as uncharacterized. NCBI's taxonomy places the organism in Eukaryota, Metazoa, Chordata, Mammalia, Primates, Cebidae. The record is from RefSeq and is a predicted model, not a curated record. The transcript has 2 exons.